UACGUAGGGUGCAAGCGUUGUCCGGAAUUAUUGGGCGAAAGAGCUCGUAGGCGGUUUGUUGCGUCGGCUGUGAAAUCCCGAGGCUCAACCUCGGGUCUGCAGUCGAUACGAGCAAACUAGAGUGUUGCAGGGGAGACUGGAAUUCCUGGUGUAGCGGUGAAAUGCGCAGAUAUCAGGAGGAACACCGGUGGCGAAGGCGGGUCUCUGGGCAACAACGUGACGCUGGAGGAGCGAAAGCCGUGGGGAGCAAACAGG
Molecule: ribosomal RNA, 255 nt
Filed under: uncultured bacterium
Lineage: Bacteria
Description: partial 16S ribosomal RNA
Rfam family: Bacterial small subunit ribosomal RNA
Source: RNAcentral